CAGCCGCCGCGGUAAUACCGGCGGCCCGAGUGGCGGUCACUAUUAUUGGGCUUAAAGCGUCCGUAGCCGGGUUGGGAAGUCCUCCGGGAAAUCUGGCCGCUUAAAGGUCAGAAUGCCGGAGGAUACUCCCAGCCUAGGGAGCGGGAGAGGCCGAGGGGAUUCCCGGGGUUGGGGGGAAAUCCUAUAAUCCCGGGAGGGCCACCUGUGGCGAAGGCGCUCGGCUGGAACGCGUCCGACGGUGAGGGACGAAGGCCAGGGGAGCAAACCGGAUUAGAUACCCGGGUAGUCCUGGCUGUAAACGAUGCGGACUUUGUGUCGGACAAGCUAUGAGCUUGUCCGGUGCCGGAGGGAAACCGUUAAGUCCGCCGCCUGGGGAGUACGGCCGCAAGGCUGAAACUUAAAGGAAUUGGCGGG
RNAcentral lists this ribosomal RNA (414 nucleotides) under uncultured microorganism. Its description in RNAcentral is "bacterial SSU rRNA". It matches the Rfam family "Archaeal small subunit ribosomal RNA", at positions 459 to 872 of the family's 1478-position model. The record is from RNAcentral.